CGGAGUGGACGCAUCACUGGUGUUCGGGUUGUCAUGCCAAUGGCACUGCCCGGUAGCUAAAUGCGGAAGAGAUAAGUGCUGAAAGCAUCUAAGCACGAAACUUGCCCCGAGAUGAGUUCUCCCUGACUCCUUGAGAGUCCUGAAGGAACGUUGAAGACGACGACGUUGAUAGGCCGGAUGUGUAAGCGCAGCGAUGCGUUGAGCUAACCGGUACUAAUGAACCGUGAGGCUUAACCUU
This 238-nucleotide ribosomal RNA is filed under the name Escherichia coli. RNAcentral's name for it is "partial 23S ribosomal RNA". It matches the Rfam family "Bacterial large subunit ribosomal RNA", at positions 2693 to 2925 of the family's 2925-position model. Lineage: Bacteria; Pseudomonadati; Pseudomonadota; Gammaproteobacteria; Enterobacterales; Enterobacteriaceae. The record is from RNAcentral.